This is a long non-coding RNA of Callorhinchus milii (elephant shark), 629 nucleotides long. RefSeq lists it as uncharacterized. Lineage: Eukaryota; Metazoa; Chordata; Chondrichthyes; Chimaeriformes; Callorhinchidae. The record is from RefSeq and is a predicted model, not a curated record. The transcript has 3 exons.
UCUGUGCCCUAUUGAGUGUUCCACUGGAGAGUCAGCCGAGACCGCGAGCUCUAGACGAGUCUCGAGUGGGAUUUGAAUCCACAACCUUCCGACGCAGAGACGGGAGGGUGAGAGAAUGGACCAGGCGCUGACAGUGAUAAAAUACAGGGAGAUCUCCGGGACGGUGAGUGCAGUGCAGGAGGUGCAGUGGAGCACAUCAUCAACAAACAGAGGAUCUGUCAGGAAGCCUGGAACAGAGUCCUUCCCUCUCCACGCCAUCCAACACCUCGUUGAUCAACACAUCGAACGGAGAGGGUGACAGUGGGCAGCCUUGCCUUACCCUGCGUUCCAGAGGGAUGGGCUCAGCGACUCCACCAUCAACCCUUACUGAGAUACACACUCCUGAUAAAAUCCCAAGAUUUGGCCACGUAUUCCCAUGGCUUCCAGUUUUAACGUGAGGGAUUCAUGAGGCACGAGGUCACAGGUCUUGAGGAGGCAAUGGACGUAUUGUAAGCAGGUUUCCCCUGAGCCUUACUACCUUCCUCAAUCUCGUGCAAACCUAAAACCUGCCCCACACAUUCCUCACGAGAAUGGAAUCCAGCCUGUUCCUUCCUGAUUAAACCACGAUACACGUGCAGUGAAAAUCCAAA